RNAcentral lists this ribosomal RNA (379 nucleotides) under Platycheirus sp. NCSU-99072129. RNAcentral describes it as "eukaryotic LSU rRNA". It matches the Rfam family "Eukaryotic large subunit ribosomal RNA", at positions 996 to 1371 of the family's 3401-position model. The record is from RNAcentral. Lineage: Eukaryota; Metazoa; Arthropoda; Insecta; Diptera; Syrphidae.
UAAUCUUAUCUGGUAAAGCGAAUGAUUAGAGGCCUUAGGGUCGAAACGAUCUUAACCUAUUCUCAAACUUUAAAUGGGUAAGAACCUAGCCUUUCUUGAUAUGAAGGUUUUGGUUAUGAUAUAUUGUGCCCAGUGGGCCACUUUUGGUAAGCAGAACUGGCGCUGUGGGAUGAACCAAACAUAAUGUUAAGGUGCCAAAAUUAACAACUCAUACAGAUACCAUGAAAGGCGUUGGUUGCUUAAAACAGCAGGACGGUGGCCAUGGAAGUCGGAAUCCGCUAAGGAGUGUGUAACAACUCACCUGCCGAAGCAACUAGCCCUUAAAAUGGAUGGCGCUUAAGUUGUAUACCUAUACAUUAUCGCUAAAGUAAAUGAANNA